This 267-nucleotide ribosomal RNA is filed under the name uncultured bacterium. RNAcentral's name for it is "partial 16S ribosomal RNA". It matches the Rfam family "Bacterial small subunit ribosomal RNA", at positions 1114 to 1382 of the family's 1533-position model. The record is from RNAcentral.
GUUGCCAGCAAGUAGUCGUUGGGCACUCUAGCCAGACUGCCGGUGAUAAUCGAGGAAGGUGGGACGACGUCAAAUCAUCAUGCCCUUUAUGUCCUGGGCUACACACGUACUACAAUGGCCGUUACAACGGGAAGCGAAGGAGCAAUCCGGAGCAAAUCCCUUAAAGGCGGUCCCAGUUCAGAUUGUGGGCUGAAACUCGCCCACAUGAAGGCGGAAUUGCUAGUAAUUGCAGAUCAGCAUGCUGCAGUGAAUACGUUCCCGGGCCUU